GACCGCGUAGCUCAGUUGGCAGAGCAUUGGGCUAGUAUUCCAAAGGUCGUAGGUUCGAUUCCCACAGUGGCCA
This 73-nucleotide transfer RNA is filed under the name Paramuricea clavata. It matches the Rfam family "tRNA". Rfam says of the family: Transfer RNA (tRNA) molecules are approximately 80 nucleotides in length. The record is from Rfam by way of RNAcentral. Lineage: Eukaryota; Metazoa; Cnidaria; Anthozoa; Malacalcyonacea; Plexauridae.